GACGGGUGAGUAAUGUCUGGGAAACUGCCUGAUGGAGGGGGAUAACUACUGGAAACGGUAGCUAAUACCGCAUAACGUCGCAAGACCAAAGAGGGGGACCUUCGGGCCUCUUGCCAUCGGAUGUGCCCAGAUGGGAUUAGCUAGUAGGUGGGGUAACGGCUCACCUAGGCGACGAUCCCUAGCUGGUCUGAGAGGAUGACCAGCCACACUGGAACUGAGACACGGUCCAGACUCCUACGGGAGGCAGCAGUGGGGAAUAUUGCACAAUGGGCGCAAGCCUGAUGCAGCCAUGCCGCGUGUAUGAAGAAGGCCUUCGGGUUGUAAAGUACU
Molecule: ribosomal RNA, 330 nt
Filed under: Escherichia coli
Lineage: Bacteria; Pseudomonadati; Pseudomonadota; Gammaproteobacteria; Enterobacterales; Enterobacteriaceae
Description: bacterial SSU rRNA
Rfam family: Bacterial small subunit ribosomal RNA
Source: RNAcentral